RNAcentral lists this ribosomal RNA (253 nucleotides) under uncultured bacterium. Its description in RNAcentral is "partial 16S ribosomal RNA". It matches the Rfam family "Bacterial small subunit ribosomal RNA", at positions 524 to 776 of the family's 1533-position model. The record is from RNAcentral.
UACGGGGGGGGCAAGCGUUGUUCGGAAUUACUGGGCGUAAAGGGCUCGUAGGUGGCCAACUAAGUCGGACGUGAAAUCCCUCGGCUUAACCGGGGAACUGCGUCCGAUACUGGUUGGCUUGAGUUUGGGAGAGGGAUGCGGAAUUCCAGGUGUAGCGGUGAAAUGCGUAGAUAUCUGGAGGAACACCAGCGGCGAAGGCGGCAUCCUGGACUGAUCCUGACACUCAUGAGCGAAAGCGUGGGGAGCGAUCCGG